This is a long non-coding RNA of Homo sapiens (human), 4194 nucleotides long. RefSeq lists it as uncharacterized. The record is from RefSeq and is a predicted model, not a curated record. The transcript is spliced from 2 exons. NCBI's taxonomy places the organism in Eukaryota, Metazoa, Chordata, Mammalia, Primates, Hominidae.
GCCUUCCUUCCUUCCCUCUUCUCCUCUUUUCUCCUUCUCCUUCCUAAAGAUCUCCUUUAGGUAGUGUAUUCCUGAACUCACAGGGCACUGAUGACCAAGCCUGGGGAGUGAAUGUCCAUACUUCUGAGUCCUGUCUGGAACCAGCAACUAAUGUUAUCUAGAAAAUGCAUCAGAAGUGCCGUAAGCUGAGCCUGCUGCUUGAGUGUUCCCUGAGCUCCUUCCCAAAACCUCUUGAGUCAUCACUGACUGAGGGGAAGGAAGGGUGUGGGGUGGGGCCACCCCAAAGCUUGUGUAAGAACCUUGUGACCUACAGCUGUGGGGGAACAAAGGAACCCUCAGGCUUCUGCCCCAGCUGCACAGGGUUCUUGGUUCCUAGGGCUCAUCCAGUUGUCCUAGGGAACAUAAUCCUAUCUUUAAAAUGGUAGAAGCGGUACCUUUGCAGAUGACUUGCUUGAAGAGUUUUAAACCCUGGCUUAAAAGAAUGGAUUCCCUCCCCCACUAGGGUUAGGCCCAUGGAAUUUUGCAAUCAUACUUUCUCGGCCUGGGUCAUGAUGCUGUCCUUCUGCAUUUGGAGAAGCCUCACUCGAAGUGAGGAUACAACUGAGGAAAAUGUGGCUUUUCCAGUGAAAGGCUGAAGCAACCCUCUGGCUGGUUGUGCCUUGGACCUCAGCAUUCUCUGAAUGACAAUAAAGAGUUUGUGCUGCCUUUUUUCCAUUUGCCAUUCCCCACCCCAUCCCAGAUCCAUUCUCCAAACUUGUCCACCCUGUUUUACACUCUAGGAGGCCAAUCUCUAAUGGAGACUUGGCCGAAAUCUCAGGGUCAGAGGAAGGAGAAGCCGGAUUAUUAUUCCUUCCCUAGCCUAAACGGGUGCUCCUGGGCCAGCUAUAAUAUUUAGUUCUGUGGCUCCACAGCUGGAGGCCACCCUUCCAAGUGCCUGGAAAAGGUGGCAGCCCCCUACCCAGGAGGUCCUGCCUGUGUGGAUGAUAAUACCUAUUUGGUCCAAAUUCAUAAUGGCCUUAGGCAAAGCUGUGAAGGUCCCGCCCUUUCUCUUUUUGGCAGCGUCAGUCCAUCAUUCUUUCAGGCCCUUCUCAACAUUUAGCUUUGCUGCCUCACAAACGCUGUCCUGAAAAGGGCUGGAUAAUUCAUUCUCAUUAAAAGGUAAAUGACUAUCCCUGCUGUCCUUCUUCUAGGGAUGUUUUCUUUGAAAAGCUGAAGUCCAAGGAAUGAAGCACUCAUUGUAGAGUUUCAAAGAGGAGCUGAGUGUGGGAUUCAAUUUCCAGUCUUCUGAAAUCCUUCCUGUCUUUUCAACUUACCAGCCUUUGCUGGAGGAGGGUGCAUUCGAAGUGCGUGGAGAGGCUCAUGCUGGGCUUUCCAGUACUCAGACUGCAAGAGCUUUGGUCUAAGGAGGGGGAGAGGAGAAGUCCUGGGAUAGAAGUGUUCAUUGUGGUAGAGAGGAGGCUGGGAGCUAAAUGUCCAGCAGCCUCCAGAAUGCUUAAGAACAACAGUCUUAGGCCCUGCACUUCCUUCGGCCCCCACCCCCGCACUUUCCAUCAGCCAAGGCACCCUCCUUCCCCCAAAACAAGUCUCGUUCUGGAGAGUUCCAAGGAUGGUGGAAGGGAACAUCAAGAAGAGCCUAGGCCCUAAGAACUCUAUGCUUCAUUUACAUUUUAACAUCCAUCAGUGGGACUUAAUAUUAAUAGCUCUCCCUUAUUGAAAGCUCGGCUGUAAGUUAAGGGCAGGGACUGGGUUUAUAUGUCCUUCAUCUGUGUAUCUUUUAAACAUAGCUCAGUGAUUUGCUCAAGAAACACGAGUCAAGGCCUGGCACAGUGGCUCAUGCCUGUAAUCCUAGCACUUUGGGAGGCCGAUGCAGGAGGAUCACUUGAGCCCAGGAGGUGGAGACCAACCUGGGCAAGAUGGUGAGACCCCCAUUUCUAUUUUUUAAAAAUCUUAAUUAGCCAGGCAUGGUGGCCCAUACCUGUUGUCCCAGCUACUCAGGAGGCUGAGGCCAGAGGAUCCCUUGGGCCCAAGAGUUUGAGAAUACAGUGAACUGUGAUCACACCACUGCACUCCAACCAGGACAACAGAGCAAGACCCCCAUCUCUAAAAAUGUAUAAUACAAUUAAAAAUAAAGAAAUACAAGUUGACUAGAUGAACACAGGAUCUCACUUAAUUCUCACAAGAACCUUGUCAGGUACUUCCUAGCAUCAUUUCCAUUCUGCGGAUGAGGUAGUUACGGCUUAGAAGGGUUAAAUAAUUGGCCCAAGGGUACCCUAUUGGUGAGGGGUAGGGCUGGUGUUCUAGUCAGUUCUGACUGACUUCAAGCCCAGACUCUAAGGCAAGACACUCAACUGCAUUUAGACAAUGCCAGUUUGGACAAAGGGUGGUCUUGCAUCUCCCUUUUUGUAGCAAUUCUCUCACAGAAGUAUUUUUAUAACUCUGAGAAAUCUUUAUAUACAUUUCUUUAUAUCCUUUAUAUUUUCUCUCCAGGUUAAGCCAGCACUUAACACCACAUGAAAUUGAAGUUCAUGGAAUUCAAAGACGAGGCCCAAGAGGCAGCAGCAAAGGUCAGCAUCUCCACCACCCCAUCAGGUCUUGCCCAUGUUGACCCAGGUGCUGGGACAGGAGGCACACACUGAACUUACUGCUCCCGUUGACUUCUCAUCUGGUUCCAGGUCUCCACUUUCCACCCCUUUUCCUCCACAGACUAAAAGCUAAGUCAUUCUGGGUGUGACGUGUGUCUAGAAAGAGUGUGUCUGGCUUCUUGUUUUUACCACAAAGUGUGCCUGAGAUAUAGGUCUGUGCCGCCAUUUUGGCUCUCAAGCCAGGGAACCUCUUGGUGUUCUCAUUUUGGAAUUUUAUUCUGGAAAGUUCGGAGGACCCAGGGACUCCUUACUGUGAUACCCGAUUCUCUGGCUUUAAUCAAUUAUUCAUUAUUCACUCAGGUACUUAAUGAACAACUCUCAAUAUCUAAUUUUGUUCCAGGCUUUGAAGAGGGUCAGAAGGAUGGAAGACUUGGCCCCUCCUCUCUAGUAGUGUACACCAUGCCUGAGGAGACCACAUAUCAACAUGGAACAGCCCCGGUUAGGGCACAAGGGCGCUGGGGCCUGGACAGUCAUGCCAUGGGAGCUCAGUGGGAGGCUGGACUUAGGCUGAGGUGCGUGGGGAGAGCUUCCUGGACAGCUGGGAUCUAAGGAUGCUUAAAUCAUGGACAGGAAAGCAGCUGCAGCCUAACGAAGAGCAGGGGUGUUAGGAGGCUUCCCUAAAGUUCUGUGACCCUGUAGAACUGUUGCCACUGCUAUGGUCACUGCUGCAACUACAAGCACUGCAUCUGGCAUGGGAGCUUGAUGGACCAGAGCACAUGCAAAGAGGGCAUCGGAAAUCCCAGAAGGGUAUGCGGGACCUUGUACCCUGUGGGAUUCCCAUGCUUACUUCAGGCAAACAGUAAGCCAGUAAGUGGAUGGCUGGCAGAGCUUCCCCCAGACUCUGAGGCUCUCAAACCCAUCUUUCGUGCAGAGAGAAUUGUGUGGUUAUCAUCCCCAGAACUCACCUGCUGAGUAAUUCGAUGCGAGUGAUUUGAUGUUCAGUCCCUCCUAGCAGGAGGCAGACCAGCAGGGAGUUACAGUUAACACUAACUGGGCAUGGCUAUUGAGGCAGGAGAGUAGGGUCUGGAGGCAGGGAACCUAAGGCUGAUUCGCGCCGAAUUCCUAGAACUGAAUCAAAAAGAAAAGCCCACCUCUCCACACCCAAAUAACAAAAGGAUCAGAGGCUACUCCCUUUGCAACCCCCCAACUUCCCCUGCAUUGCAGAUGAAAACUGAAAGUACCUCUGAUUGGUCCCCUCCUGCAACCAGUCAGGCUGGUCACAGGCCAAGUCUUCAUUUGCAGAGGAGUAUAACUUUGUAAGUUCACUUCAGCCUCUGAUUGGUCACUUUCUGCAAUCAAUCAGACAUUUGCAUAGGGUGUAACUUUGUAUCUUCACUUCAGCCUCUGAUUAGUUGCUUUCUGCAAUCAAUCAGACUGAUCGUGGGCCACUAUUUCAUUUACAUAGGGUGUAAACCAAGUAACCAAUGGAAAACCUCUAGAGGGUAUUUAAACCCCAGAAAAUUCUGUAACCAAAGCUCUUGAGCUGCUUGCUCGAGCCCCCUCCCACUCUGUGUCGCGUACUUUUGUUUCAAUAAAUCUGUGCUUUUCUUUU